GCAGCCUGAUCAGCCAUACCGCGUGGGUGAAGAAGGCCUUCGGGUUGUAAAGCCCUUUUGUUGGGAAAGAAAUCCAGCUGGCUAAUACCCGGUUGGGAUGACGGUACCCAAAGAAUAAGCACCGGCUAACUUCGUGCCAGCAGCCGCGAUAAUA
This 154-nucleotide ribosomal RNA is filed under the name uncultured Stenotrophomonas sp. Its description in RNAcentral is "partial 16S ribosomal RNA". It matches the Rfam family "Bacterial small subunit ribosomal RNA", at positions 378 to 525 of the family's 1533-position model. Lineage: Bacteria; Pseudomonadati; Pseudomonadota; Gammaproteobacteria; Lysobacterales; Lysobacteraceae. The record is from RNAcentral.